GACGAACGCUGGCGGCGUGCUUAACACAUGCAAGUCGAACGAAGUGGCGAACGGGUGAGUAACGCGUAAUAAACCUGCCCUUCAGAGGGGGACAACAGUUGGAAACGACUGCUAAUACCGCAUACUGAAUGAGGGGAUUGCGUCUGAUUAGCUCGUUGGGGGGGUAACGGCCCACCAAGGUGAUGUUCAGUAGCCUGGUUGAGAGGAUGAACGGCCACAUUGGGACUGAGAAACGGCCCAGACCCCUACGGGAGGCAGCAGUGGGGAAUCUUCCGCAAUGGACGAAAGGCUGACGGAGCAACGCCGGGUGAGUGAUGACGGCCGUCGGGUUGUAAAGCUCUGUUAAUCGGGACGCGGUACCGGAAUAGAAAGCCACGGCUAACUACGUGCCAGCAGCCGCGGUAAUAC
Molecule: ribosomal RNA, 408 nt
Filed under: uncultured bacterium
Lineage: Bacteria
Description: partial 16S ribosomal RNA
Rfam family: Bacterial small subunit ribosomal RNA
Source: RNAcentral